GCUCUCGCCUUCUCUACCGCUCAGUGGAGUUAAGUUGCAGAGUUAUUGAAAUCGGAGGCGUUAGGGAUACUCAACAGGCUCGAAUCUCUGCGUCUCGCGGUCGAUGAUGAGAAGGUAGAAGACAAAGACAAAGACGAGACGUGAAAACCCUGGGCACGAUCAGUUCAAGGUGGGCCGCGACAAAACAAAUAAAAAAACAACACAUUAGCCGGAGCCCAAACCGAAUAAGGGAAAAAAAAAAACAAAAAAACGUAACCAAUUAAGCGCCGACACGUGGCGACAUAUGCCCAC
RNAcentral lists this long non-coding RNA (291 nucleotides) under Brassica napus (rape). RNAcentral's name for it is "long non-coding RNA (BNAP_LNC021795)". Lineage: Eukaryota; Viridiplantae; Streptophyta; Magnoliopsida; Brassicales; Brassicaceae. The record is from RNAcentral.